Molecule: long non-coding RNA, 1749 nt
Organism: Piliocolobus tephrosceles (Ugandan red Colobus)
Lineage: Eukaryota; Metazoa; Chordata; Mammalia; Primates; Cercopithecidae
Source: Ensembl
AAAGAAAAAAACGGAAAAACAAAAAAAAUUGGAAUAGGUACUAAAACAAUGAAAGAGAAUAAAACAAAAACUUAUAAUGAUAAAAAAGUUAUAAGUAAUACAGAUUAUAUAGGAUUAAAAACAUGUGAUGAAAGAAAUAACGAUAUAAUGGAAAAAGGAAAUGAUUGGGAGCAAGAUAAAAGAAAAAAAAAUAUAGACAAAAGAAAAUAUAUUACUGUAAUGCCUGGAUUUGAAACAAGAAAACAAAAUUUUUUAUUAUUACCUUCUAAUGAACAUGAUACGGAAUCAAAUACAAAAAAGGAAUAUCCAAAAGUUAAUACCAAUUGUAAAAUAUUGGAAAAUGAAGCCUACCAUGACAUAACUGGUGACACAGGUUAUGACAUAAACAACACCGAACAUGUAAACUAUUAUAAUAACACUUUUGAUGAACUUAUAAUGACAAAUCCUUUUAAUAUAAGUAUAUAUAACAACGAAUUGGGUAGAACUCAUAUAUGUUCUAAUAAAUUGGAUAGUGAGUAUAGUGAUAUAAUUAGUAAAAGUAACAAAAAUAUAAAUAAUAAUGAUAUAGAAAAAAAAAAUAAAAACAAUAAUGAUUUAUUAUUUACAGAAGAAUUAAAAAAUUCAUUUAUUUUGACAAAAAAUAUGAAAAAAAGUCUGCAAAACAUUGUUAAUGAAAAAAAAAAAAAAAAAAACGUAUUAGUUAAUCGUUUAUACAAAUCGUAUGACGAUAAUACACAUUUAAAACAUUUGGAUAAUAUUUCUGACGAUUUGAAUAAUAUAUAUCACCAUAAUAGUAUAACAAAUAAUUUAAAUAUAAAAAAAUAUAAAUCUGAUAAUAUUAUAUUACCACAUAAUCGCAGUCAGAACAUAAAUCAGAAUCAAAACCAGAACCCAAACCAGAACCAGAACCAGAACCUUAGCCAAUAUUUUAACCAGAAUCUUAAUCAUAAUCAUAACCACAGCCAUAGUUAUAGUCAUAGUCAUAGUCAUAGUCAUGACCAUAACAAUAACCAUAUCCAUAACGGUAACCAUAACCUUAACCUAAACAUUAACCGGUACCUUAACCGGAACCUUAACCAGAACAUUAACCGGAACAUUAAUCAAAACUAUAAUAUGAACCUUAGCCACCAUAUUAACCGGAAUCUUAACCAAAACCUUUACCAAAACCUUAAGCACAACCUACACAAGAAAUAUAACCAGAACCAAAACCAGUAUCUAAAUCAGAACCAGAACCAGAACCAGAACCAGUAUCUAAAUCAGAACCAGAACCCAAGCCAGCAUCUAAACCAGAACCAAAACCAAAACCAAAACCAAAACCAGCACCUAAACCAUAACCAGAACCUAAUCCAACAUUUAAACCAGAACCAGAACUUAAGCCACCAUCUAAAUCAAAACUGGAAACAUAACCAAAACCUAAACUAUAACUCAAACCUGAACCAAAACCAAUUCCAAAACAAUAACCAGAACCAAAACCAGAACCAAAACCAAAAUCAAAACCAGAAUCAAAACCAAAACCAAAACCAAAACCAAAACAAUAACCAAAACAAUAACCAAAACCAAAAUCAAAACAAAAAUCAAAACCAAAACCAAAACCAAAACCAAAACCAAAACCAAAGCAAUAACCAAAACCAAAGCCAUAACGAAAAUAAUAACCAGAGCCAGAACCUAAACCAACACCAACACCAACACCAACACCAACACCAACACCAACACCAACACCAGCACCAGAACCAACACCAGAACCAACAC